UACAGAGGUCUCAAGCGUUGUUCGGAUUCAUUGGGCGUAAAGGGUGCGUAGGCGGCGCGGUAAGUCGGGUGUGAAAUCUCGGAGCUUAACUCCGAAACUGCAUUCGAUACUGCCGUGCUUGAGGACUGGAGAGGAGACUGGAAUUUACGGUGUAGCGGUGAAAUGCGUAGAUAUCGUAAGGAAGACCAGUGGCGAAGGCGAGUCUCUGGACAGUUGCUGACACUGAGGCACGAAGGCUAGGGGAGCAAACGGG
This 253-nucleotide ribosomal RNA is filed under the name uncultured bacterium. Its description in RNAcentral is "partial 16S ribosomal RNA". It matches the Rfam family "Bacterial small subunit ribosomal RNA", at positions 524 to 776 of the family's 1533-position model. The record is from RNAcentral.